GGAUUGUUUUUUACUUUCUCUGUGAAGGUUUUAAAGGAAAUAGAAGAUGAGAUUUGACUGAUCGAGUAGGUAGAGUAGUUCAUGUUCUCAUUUGUAUUAGAAAUCUUGAGUCAUUGUGACACAUGACCCAUGGGGUUCAUCACCAGUUAUUUUUCAUUUUUAUCCAUGCAUACAUUUCUAUCUUCAAGAAGAUUUGUUGUAGCCACA
RNAcentral lists this long non-coding RNA (207 nucleotides) under Elaeis guineensis (African oil palm). Its description in RNAcentral is "long non-coding RNA (EGUI_LNC032101)". Lineage: Eukaryota; Viridiplantae; Streptophyta; Magnoliopsida; Arecales; Arecaceae. The record is from RNAcentral.